Molecule: unclassified non-coding RNA, 1154 nt
Filed under: Hevea brasiliensis (rubber tree)
Lineage: Eukaryota; Viridiplantae; Streptophyta; Magnoliopsida; Malpighiales; Euphorbiaceae
Source: RNAcentral
UCCCAACUUUCCCCUUCUCCUCCACAAGUUCCAUAAAUUCUCUCUAAGCUUAUGGCAACUCAGUUCUAGAAUCUUCUAUAACUCAAUCUCUGUAUCUGCUGCUACUUCGACGAAAAUGGCGAGUAUUUCAGCUACACUUUCAACUGCAACUUUACCGGAACUCAAAUUUCUAUCUCCGAUUUCCACUUCCAGAAGUUUCCGUUUCCGUAUACCUCAGCGGAGUAGAAUUAAGGCGGCGUCGGGUAAGAGAGAAGAUAACGUGGUGUUGGAGGAGAGAGAUGCGGAAUUGUUGAGGAAAGUGAAUGGGAGUGUGAAUGGGAAUGGGAGUGUGAAGAGGAGUGUUGAUUUGAAUGGUGCGUUGUUGGUGGAUAAGUAUAGUAAUGGAAGUGUAGGUGUGAUUGAGAGUGAAAAUGGAAGUUUGAUGAAGUAUGUGAAUGGAAAUGGUGUAGCGGGGAAGAGUGCGGAGAAGGUUGUGGAGGUGAAGGCAGAAGAAGUGGUUGAGAAGAGGAAUAAGAAGAGUAUUGAUGAGAUAGGACAAGAGGAGGCUUGGUUUAAGAAGAAUAAGGAAGUUAAGGUCUCUGUACCGCCUGGAGGCCGUUGGAACAGAUUCAAAACAUAUUCAACUAUUCAAAGGACUUUAGAGAUAUGGGGAUCUGUCUUCACUUUCUUAUUCAAGGCUUGGUUGAAUAAUCAAAAGUUCUCCUAUCAAGGUGGAAUGACAGAAGCAAAAAAAACUGAGCGGAGAAAGGUCCUUGCUAAGUGGUUAAAAGAAACUAUUUUGAGAUUGGGUCCAACUUUUAUCAAGAUUGGCCAGCAAUUCUCAACAAGAGUGGAUAUUCUUGCUCAGGAGUAUGUUGAUCAGUUGUCUGAGCUUCAGGACCAAGUUCCUCCUUUCCCAUCUGAAACUGCUGUAUCCAUAGUUGAAGAAGAACUUGGCGGCUCAUUGGAUAAUAUAUUUGAAAGAUUUGACCGUGAACCAAUAGCUGCUGCAAGUCUUGGUCAGGUGCAUCGUGCAAGACUGAAUGGGCAGGAAGUAGUUGUCAAAGUACAAAGGCCCGGUCUUAAGGAUCUUUUUGAUAUCGAUCUUAAAAACCUGAGGGUGAUAGCUGAAUAUCUGCAGAAAAUAGAUCCUAAAUCUGACGGUGCGAAAAGAG